Long non-coding RNA from Hyaena hyaena (striped hyena), 708 nucleotides. RefSeq lists it as uncharacterized. NCBI's taxonomy places the organism in Eukaryota, Metazoa, Chordata, Mammalia, Carnivora, Hyaenidae. The transcript is spliced from 4 exons. The record is from RefSeq and is a predicted model, not a curated record.
GCGGCGUUCUGGAGGGAGGCCGGCGCCGGGAGCCCCAGAUCAGCUGGGGCCGGGGGCGCAGCGCCUCCCCUGUGCCUCGCAGGGGGGAUCCAGUCCAGCUUUGCCACUCUUGCGGGCGUCCCCGAGACUCUGGUCCAGUGCCUGGGCACAAGAGCCCUUAAGACCCUGCGGUCCUAUUUGCUUCUUGCCGUGCUGGAAAGGACGGGUCAGUGCUUCCUCCAGGCCCAGGCCUGGCCUCCCUGCGACUGUGCGCUGCCGCCUGUGAAGUGCGGGACCCCAAAGGGCUCCCACCGCCGCUUUGUUCACAGGGAAGGGAAACUGGGGCGCAGCUCAGGAGGACACCUACCCUCUUCCAGAGCAAGUUUGGAGUCUCAGGGGUCCCGCAGGACCGGAGCCAGGAUUGAAGAACUUUGAUACCCCUCCUCCUCAAUCCUCGGAGGGCUUGGUGCCCACACAGCUCGCAUUCCUGAAAGAAGCUUCUUCUGGCUUCUCCACACACCCUGUGGUUCCCUGGGAACAGGGGAGGGGGAUGGAGGUGGUGCUCCCCGGGUGUCUGGGGCCCUGCAACCAGGCAGGUGUCUUCCAUCUAUUUCUGUGUCCAGGAUUCAUGUGUUUUUCAAAGGCUGAUGGAAAUACUGAGAUCUAAAAGCAUUUUGAUUGGUACCAAAUGCUGAAAAUAAAACUCCAAAAUAAAAUUUAAAAGUUUAU